CGCAUUGAAGGCAGACACUUUCGAUCGUGAUUUGUAUGUUUUAAAUGUUUUGUAUUGGCUGGUUGUUGGCACUUGACGGAAACGGUGGCGAUAGCGAUAUUAGUUGUGUAUACACAGUUCUUUCUGGAGGGUUGUUUUGGCCAGCAGUUGUUCGAUAUUUUCGAUAAUGAGUAAAAAAUAUUCUAAAAACUCCGAAAAGUUUGUGUUGCUCUCACUUUUUGUCGGCGCACUAAGCGCAUUGCCAGCGUUAUCUGGUGGAGUCUCGUUGACGUGGGGUCAGGUGGGCAAGUAUGCCUCGCCUAUUUACGAUGAAGAAAUUAAGCUCACUGAUAACAAACCGAUAGUUGAAGUUACGUAUCCACGACAGGGUGACAUCAACGAGUACAUCAUAACCGCAAUGCACGCAUUCGACACGAAAACACCACUAUACACGAUAUCUGAUGCGGAGCGCGCGGCCGAUGCACAUUUGGCAAGCGUGGAUUCUGCAAGGGUUACGGUUCUGCGUGGCGGCGUUGGCUUUAAUUACACGACAUUACGAUUUGAAAUGGCAACGCCCGCUUAUCAGCUAUCAGCUGCAGACAGCGCCCCGAGCACUGGCGGUCAUCCUGAUGGCGGCAGACAUGCGGGGCGUAGUAAUAACUUACGCGCACACUAUCAGCUCGUUAUUUACGGCGUUGAUUUAUAGCGUGAAUAAUUGUAUAAUAAACUUUUCUGCGAUUCUUUUUUCAAAUAAUCAUAGACGAGCUUAGUUAAGUAAUGGUUACAUUGCAAAUAAAUUAUUUUAUAAAUAUAAGUCGCAGUAAUAAUUCGUUUACCCUGUUUUUGUUGAAAUGUGUCCAAGGCAAGGAGCUGCUGAUAAGUCGAUGUACUUACAGGACUCUGUUGAUUUUGAGCUUUAAACCAUGAUCUACUCUUGAGUUGGUCAUUGUCGAUAAUAAAGGCAAGCUGAGUUGGUAGUUAUUAGCUUAAUAUUUAA
This 976-nucleotide unclassified non-coding RNA is filed under the name Bactrocera latifrons. Its description in RNAcentral is "uncharacterized LOC108974517, transcript variant X1". Lineage: Eukaryota; Metazoa; Arthropoda; Insecta; Diptera; Tephritidae. The record is from RNAcentral.